GGGGUGUGACACUCUAAUCUUUUUGGAAUCAGUUCAAAAGAUUCAAAAAGAUUCGAAAAGAUUCGAGGUGAUUCGGCGGGAUUAACAGAAAAACAGGCGGCCGUCAGUCAUUUCCAAAAUACUGGAUCAUUUCGUCCAGUGUUUGUUUUGAUUUUGUAUAAGAAGCCGAUCGGAUUGCUGACCAUGGGAAAGAAAAUUGUUUUCCAUUUGGUGGACUGAAAGCCCAGCAAUGCGCCCGAUUAAUGUGCCGUCGUUGAAUCUGCACCGUGAGUAGCCGAUGCCAAAGGUAUACCUACGCGACGACAAGGAUCCGCGUAGUAGAAGAAGGUCCGUCGCGAUCGAUUCCACCGCCUCCACCAGCAGAGCGGGCUCAAUACCGAAACUCCCGAAUCAAACCGAACCGGAUGGGUACCGGAGUACCCUGUGGAGGUACGUCAGCCAAAUCCACCAGGCACCAACAAGCACAAGGAAAAUGCCGAAAUGGUUUCCAGUCGGUCGGACUCACCGUCUGCUCAUGAAAAGCAACUAUGAUGAACGUAUUGGUGACGGUAUUCCCGUCUGUUUGGUUGCAGUGAUGGAAUAAUAUUCAGAUUAUCUGUCUGCUGAAGUCCUGGAAUUGGCAGGUGAUUACCGCUCGUGAUAACAAGAAGCCCCGAAUCACGAAUGACUGAAGCAUUAGUGCUCUAACGAACCGUAGAAACCUUGAUGGGAAUAGUCGCAGCUGAACCAUCCCCGCAAAAAGGCUUCCAUAUCGCAACGGUUUAAUCAACAUGGGCAUUCCAAUUAAUCUGAACUGCGGCUGGUGGGAGGUUUGUUCCUGUGAGGAGUCAUCGCGAACAUAGGUAAUCCUUAGAAACUGCCAUAGAUAGUUCAGCACCAAAAUAUGAUAAAGGAAUAAAGCGAGCGAGUAUGAUAUAAAAUGA
This is a long non-coding RNA of Aedes albopictus (Asian tiger mosquito), 923 nucleotides long. RefSeq lists it as uncharacterized. Lineage: Eukaryota; Metazoa; Arthropoda; Insecta; Diptera; Culicidae. The transcript has 2 exons. The record is from RefSeq and is a predicted model, not a curated record.